UUCAAAGCCCCUUGCUUACACCAAAGAAAUGUUUGUGAAAUCCGAUCCACUUUGA
Molecule: transfer RNA, 55 nt
Filed under: Quasipaa sp. AMNH13199
Lineage: Eukaryota; Metazoa; Chordata; Amphibia; Anura; Dicroglossidae
Description: tRNA-Val
Source: RNAcentral